UCCGGUUUGACACCGGCAGUCUCGCUAGAGUCCCCGCCAUUACGCGCUGGCAACUAGCGAUAAGGGUUGCGCUCGUUAAGGGACUUAACCCGACACUUCACAGCACGAGCUGACGACAGCCAUGCAGCACCUGUGCACGUUCCACCCGAAGGUGUCAUUCCUGUUUCCAGAAACUAAUCCGUGCAUGUCAAACCCAGGUAAGGUUCUUCGCGUUGCUUCGAAUUAAGCAACAUGCUCCACCGCUUGUGUGAGCCCCCGUCAAUUCCUUUGAGUUUUAGCCUUGCGACCGUACUCCCCAGGCGGCGCACUUAAUGAUUUCUCUACGACCGGCAACGGGUCAGACCGUCACCGAUCUAGUGCGCAUCGUUUACGGCGUGGACUAC
Molecule: unclassified non-coding RNA, 383 nt
Filed under: uncultured Phycisphaeraceae bacterium
Lineage: Bacteria; Pseudomonadati; Planctomycetota; Phycisphaerae; Phycisphaerales; Phycisphaeraceae
Description: contains 16S-23S intergenic spacer region
Source: RNAcentral